RNAcentral lists this ribosomal RNA (426 nucleotides) under uncultured bacterium. RNAcentral describes it as "bacterial SSU rRNA". It matches the Rfam family "Bacterial small subunit ribosomal RNA", at positions 356 to 773 of the family's 1533-position model. The record is from RNAcentral.
AGGGAAUUUUGCGCAAUGGACGAAAGUCUGACGCAGCGACGCCGCGUGAGGGAUGAAGGUUCUCGGAUUGUAAACCUCUGUUGAGUGGGAAGAAAGCGUUUGCGGGUAAUAUCCGCAAGCCUUGACGGUACCACUCGAGGAAGCCCCGGCUAACUACGUGCCAGCAGCCGCGGUAAUACGUAGGGGGCAAGCGUUGUUCGGAAUUACUGGGCGUAAAGGGAGCGUAGGCGGGAGAGUAAGUUAGAAGUUAAAUGCUCAGGCUUAACUUGAGACCUGCUUUUAAGACUGCUUUUCUUGAGUAUGGGAGAGGGUGAUGGAAUUCCAGGUGUAGCGGUGGAAUGCGUAGAUAUCUGGAAGAACACCAGCUGCGAAGGCGGUCACCUGGCCCAAUACUGACGCUGAGGCUCGAAAGCUAGGGGAGCAAAC